UCUCUAUUUCUCUUUCCUCUCUA
This 23-nucleotide non-coding RNA is filed under the name Arabidopsis thaliana (thale cress). Lineage: Eukaryota; Viridiplantae; Streptophyta; Magnoliopsida; Brassicales; Brassicaceae. The record is from RNAcentral.